Molecule: long non-coding RNA, 397 nt
Filed under: Lonchura striata (white-rumped munia)
Lineage: Eukaryota; Metazoa; Chordata; Aves; Passeriformes; Estrildidae
Description: domestica (Bengalese finch) lncRNA (ENSLSDG00000013172.1)
Source: RNAcentral
AUCAAACAGAAACUUCUCUCACUGUGAGGAAAAGGGAAUGAUUCUACCCUUGUAAGGAGGGGCAUAAUAGGAGCCCACCCAUGAAUGGGACUGGUGGCAAGGCAGAACUUAUAGUCUGUUACAGUCAUGUUUCCAGUCCUGUCACACCUGCUCAUAACAGGGAAGGAGAAACUGAUGCAGUUUACUUGUAGAACUAUUUGUGAAGAGUGUUGCUUGUAUCCCCAUGGGAUGAUAUGAUCACACAUAUUAUAUUGGCAAUAUUGAUGUGUUCAUGUGCAACUAUCAUUCCAGCAAUUGGGAUGAUUUGUGCAGUAUUCAAAAGGAUUUAAGUUCUUUCAUCUCUGUCAUAGUUUGGUAACUGCUUCCCAGAAUGGUGUGGUAUGUCACCUCAAGGUAU